CAUCAAGAGUACCAAGUACUCUUCUGCGAAGCUCAUCGUCGCCUGCAUAAAUGUUGCCGUUGGAACUCCAAGCUGGGCUUUGUCAAUUGUGGGUGAUUUGUCAAUUGAUUCCAUGGCUGUUGUUGGUGUUGCUCUGCCUAUCUGCUUCAUCCAUAUCAGGUGGUCUUUGACAUGCAAGACCAGAUUCUCUCUAAUUCACCCAGAUGUGAAGACCUAAAUCCUUCCCUUUUGGUGGUUGAAGGUUGAGCUCAGCGAAGGAGCUAAUACCACUGUCCUAAAACCCAAAUCAAGUAUUAUUCCAAAUAAAUCAGGUUGGAUAUUGCAUCCCGCUUGCUGGUUCUCUUUAUCAACUAUCUGAUGUGAUACAAUAUCAUGCAAGACUUUUACAGGACUUGAUUUUAAAGAUGAAUGACAACAUCUUGUUUUCCUCUCUUCUUUAAGCCUAUCAUCUCCAACAUCAGCAAACUGUCAGAUUCCUUUAGAUAUGAUCCCAGCAUCUCAAUCUUUUCCAAUGAGGAAUCUGUUCAUUUAAAGAUUCAAAUUUAUUGUUAGUGUUGAGGGCAUCACUUUGUUUGCCUGAAGAUGAUGACAGUUCGAUCAUGAUGUCAAAAAUUGAUAGUUUAUUUACAAUGGCUAAAUUGGAUUGUUUUAGUACCAACAAUGAUGAAGAAAGAUUUAUGUGAAGCAUGCGGACAAAACUUCGUAUUGAUUACAAGAUAUCGAUUACAAGUGAAUUUAAGAGCGGGAAUCGAACCUCCGACCUCUUGCUUAAGGGACACAGCGCUGAACCACUAUGCCAACUUUGGUGGUUGGCCUUUUGGUUAAGAUCAAGUGAAAGAUAUAUCUUAUCUAUUUUCUUUAAAAAGGUGAAGAAAGAAAGACUUAUCAAGGACAAACAAGGGAACACCAAAAUCAGUCCACAAAAUGGAAGAAUUCUAUGAACUUUUUUGGAGACCAAGUCCCGGCUUCCCAAGAACACAAUAACAAGAAGAUAACAAGGUAUUUAUUACACCAAAUUAGCGGACAACAAACUAGAUUAACAACAUAAGAUGUUGAACAAGAAGACACAAAAUUCGGAUUUAACAAUAACAACAAGA
This is a long non-coding RNA of Capsicum annuum, 1097 nucleotides long. RefSeq lists it as uncharacterized. The record is from RefSeq and is a predicted model, not a curated record. Lineage: Eukaryota; Viridiplantae; Streptophyta; Magnoliopsida; Solanales; Solanaceae. The transcript has 8 exons.